GACGAACGCUGGCGGCGUGCUUAACACAUGCAAGUCGAACGGAAAGGCCCUGCUUUUGUGGGGUGCUCGAGUGGCGAACGGGUGAGUAACACGUGAGUAACCUGCCCUUUACUUUGGGAUAACUUCAGGAAACUGGGGCUAAUACCGGAUAGGAGCUCCUGCUGCAUGGGGGGGGUUGGAAAGUUUCGGCGGUAGGGGAUGGACGCGCGGCUUAUCAGCUUGUUGGGGGGGUAGUGGCUUACCAAGGCUUUGGCGGGUAGCCGGCCUGGGAGCGUGAACGGCCACAUUGGGACUGAGAGACGGACCAGACUCCUACGGGAGGCAGCGGUGGGGAAUAUUGCACAGUGGGCGGAAGCCUGAUGCGAAAACCCCGCGUGCGGGAUGACGGCCUUCGGGUUGUAAACCGCUUUCGCCUGUGACGAAGCGUGAGUGACGGUAAUGGGUAAAGAAGCACCGGCUAACUACGUG
RNAcentral lists this ribosomal RNA (468 nucleotides) under uncultured bacterium. Its description in RNAcentral is "partial 16S ribosomal RNA". It matches the Rfam family "Bacterial small subunit ribosomal RNA", at positions 28 to 507 of the family's 1533-position model. The record is from RNAcentral.